CUGAGUUCAUUGUUUCAUUGUUGUUGUCUUGUGUGACUGUCGUAGUAAAAUGUCAUUGAUAUAUAUAUGGCGGACAUGACUUUUGUUUAUUCAUAACGAACAUUGGAUUCUGCCAGAUCAAACAGAAAUCAAUAUUCUGAAAAUAAUGCAAACAUCAAAUCAUUUGAAUGCUGCCAUGCUGGAGCACCACCUUUAGUCAAGCAAAUCGACCCCAGGACUUCUUCUUUCUCAGCGUAGUACUUAUUCUCUUAUGCCGAACCGUCAUUUGACAGCAGCCAUGCUGGAGCACAGCCUUGAAGUGUUUUUGCCGAACAAUUCAACCUCAGGACAUUUUAAAAUUCCUAAUGCCUAUUCUAUUGGUUUCUUUGAUGAACCACUAAGUUAUAGGGAUGUAAACACACCAACACUGGUUGUCAAGCGAUGAUGGGGGGACAAAUACAGACACAAAGGUACACACGUACAUAUAUACAAACACACACACAUACAAAAACACAUGCACAUACACACACAUGCAUGUAUAUAUAUAUUGUAUCUCAACUCUUACAAGACACUACAUACUAUGAAAGAGUAGUCAACUACCAACAAACAAGAACAAUGACCAAAUUAAACAAACUCAUCUGCCAACAUCGAAACAACUUAACAACAAAGGAAUGCGACUACCUAACAAACUUUAAUUGCAAAACAAGCAACCUCUAUGGACUUCCAAAAAUCCACAAGAGCAAAACUAUUUCUGAAGCUUGCAAAAAGUCCACUUCCACCUGCAUCACUGUACCACAUCCCACUGAUCUCAAACUAAGACCAAUUGUGGCAGGCCCAAACUGUGAAACACACAGAUUAAACAACUUUAUCGAUAUCCUCCUGAAACCAAUACUUCACCACAUACCAAGUAUUGUUAGAGACAAC
Molecule: long non-coding RNA, 903 nt
Organism: Octopus bimaculoides (California two-spot octopus)
Lineage: Eukaryota; Metazoa; Mollusca; Cephalopoda; Octopoda; Octopodidae
Source: RefSeq, a predicted model, not a curated record